Molecule: ribosomal RNA, 685 nt
Filed under: uncultured Omnitrophica bacterium
Lineage: Bacteria; Pseudomonadati; Candidatus Omnitrophota
Description: bacterial SSU rRNA
Rfam family: Bacterial small subunit ribosomal RNA
Source: RNAcentral
GAUGUGUUUAUGCGGCAUAAGCCGCUAUAAGUAAAGAUGGUUCGUAAGAGUUGUCGCUUAGAGAUGAGCUCGCGUCCUAUCAGCUAGUUGGUGAGGGUAACGGCCCACCAAGGCAAUUGACGGGUAGCUGGCCUGAGAGGCGGUCAGCCACACGGGGACUGAGACACUGCCCCGACUCCUACGGGAGGCUGCAGACGAGGAUCUUUAGCAAUGGGCGAAAGCCCGACUAUGCGACGCCGCGUGAGGGAUGAAGGUUUUCGGAUCGUAAACCUCUUUCAAUAGGGAAGAAAACUCUGCUUAACAAGCAGAACUGACGGUACCUAUAGAAGAAGCCACGGCCAACUCCGUGCCAGCAGCCGCGGUAAUACGGGGGUGGCGAGCGUUACUCGGAUUUAUUGGGUGUAAAGGGCAAGUAGGCGUCCCGAAAAGUUAGGAGUGAAAUCCUUUGGCUUAACCAAAGAACUGCUCCUAAAACUGGCGGGAUUGAGGCUGGAAGAGGAGAGCGGAAUUCCCGGUGUAAGGGUGAAAUCUGUAGAUAUCGGGAGGAACACCAGUGGCGAAAGCGGCUCUCUGGUCUAGAUCUGACGCUGAAUUGCGAAAGCUAGGGUAGCAAACAGGAUUAGAUACCUGGUAGUCCUAGCCGUAAACGAUGAGCACUAGGUGUUGAGAGUUUACUUUCAGCGCC